Molecule: long non-coding RNA, 418 nt
Organism: Chiroxiphia lanceolata (lance-tailed manakin)
Lineage: Eukaryota; Metazoa; Chordata; Aves; Passeriformes; Pipridae
Exons: 2
Source: RefSeq, a predicted model, not a curated record
GUUUUGAGAGGAGAAAACUAUUAGUGGCUGGACCAUUCUGGAGCAGGACAGGAGAACACUUGUAAGUAAAACAUGGAAUAACAUUUUAUCAGACCUGGAUGUGGUCCUAGAGAUGUGUUAUCUAAGGAGAAGGAAAGAUAAUCACACUGUAAGGAGAUCAGGGGCUCAGAUCCCCUUGUAAACGACAGGAGGUUCUUACUGUUGAUUAUGUGGUGUGUGUCUUUGCCUUUGCCUUCAACAUAAGGCUCAUUUCUGAGCUGGAAUGCACUGUGGUAUCCCAGCCACCCCCUCAAGGCUGUCUUUGCUCCAAACAAAGUGGAGGUACCUGUUGUCUCAGCAUGGUGAUGGAAGGUAGUGAAGCGAUCUUGAUUUAGAAGACACUUUUUGUCCAUGAAUGAGGGAAUAAAUAACCAAAACU